UAGGGAAUCUUCCGCAAUGGACGAAAGUCUGACGGAGCAACGCCGCGUGAGUGAAGAAGGAUUUCGGUUCGUAAAACUCUGUUGUUAGGGAAGAAAAAAUGUAUAGUAACUAUAUACAAAAGAGACGGUACCUAACCAGAAAGCCACGGCUAACUACGUGCCAGCAGCCGCGGUAAUACGUAGGUGGCAAGCGUUGUCCGGAAUUAUUGGGCGUAAAGCGCGCGCAGGUGGUUUAGAAAGUCUGAUGUGAAAGCCCACGGCUCAACCGUGGAGGGUCAUUGGAAACUAAUAAACUUGAGUGCAGGAGAGAAAAGUGGAAUUCCUAGUGUAGCGGUGAAAUGCGUAGAGAUUUGGAGGAACACCGGUGGCGAAAGCGGCUUUUUGGCCUGCAACUGACACUGAGGCGCGAAAGCGUGGGGAGCAAACAGG
This 429-nucleotide ribosomal RNA is filed under the name Verrucomicrobiota bacterium. Its description in RNAcentral is "Verrucomicrobia bacterium partial 16S ribosomal RNA". It matches the Rfam family "Bacterial small subunit ribosomal RNA", at positions 355 to 776 of the family's 1533-position model. Lineage: Bacteria; Pseudomonadati; Verrucomicrobiota. The record is from RNAcentral.